This is a long non-coding RNA of Helianthus annuus (common sunflower), 336 nucleotides long. RefSeq lists it as uncharacterized. The transcript has 3 exons. The record is from RefSeq and is a predicted model, not a curated record. Lineage: Eukaryota; Viridiplantae; Streptophyta; Magnoliopsida; Asterales; Asteraceae.
UUCUCCUUCUCCUUCUCCUCUACUCUUCUACCUUCUGAAUCAAAGAUCAAACCAAAUCAUCUUAUCAUGAAUCAUUCCAAGCGUCACCAGUAUUGUAGCCCUAUAGUUGGGAAGAUUCUUUCAUCUUCUUCGUUGGCAAGGUUCUUCCAUUUGAGGGUUGUUGUCAUCGAUGGUCAUCAAAGUUGAGAUCUGCUUACCUGCGGCUAGAUUUCCGCCAUGAAUCUGUUUGUAACAGCAGUGGUUCAGCAUCUACAGUGGAUUCAACAUUCUAUAGUGGAUUCAAUAUCAGGUGUUUGGUUAAUUUUUGGUCAGGUUUCCUAUUCAGUUUUGAUGUUC